Molecule: ribosomal RNA, 253 nt
Filed under: uncultured bacterium
Lineage: Bacteria
Description: partial 16S ribosomal RNA
Rfam family: Bacterial small subunit ribosomal RNA
Source: RNAcentral
UACGUAGGGGGCAAGCGUUGUCCGGAAUCAUUGGGCGUAAAGCGCGUGUAGGCGGCCCGGUAAGUCCGCUGUGAAAGUCCAGGGCUCAACCCUGGGAUGCCGGUGGAUACUGUCGGGCUCGAGUCCGGAAGAGGCGAGUGGAAUUCCUGGUGUAGCGGUGAAAUGCGCAGAUAUCGGGAGGAACACCGGUGGCGAAGGCGGUUCUCUGGGCCUUACCUGACGCUGAGGAGCGAAAGCGUGGGGAGCGAACAGG